This 391-nucleotide ribosomal RNA is filed under the name uncultured bacterium. RNAcentral's name for it is "bacterial SSU rRNA". It matches the Rfam family "Bacterial small subunit ribosomal RNA", at positions 775 to 1157 of the family's 1533-position model. The record is from RNAcentral.
AGUCAAUAGAUACCCGGGUAGUCCACGCCGUAAACGAUGAGUACUAGGUGUAGGAGGUAUCGACUCCUUCUGUGCCGCAGUUAAACACAAUAAGUACUCCGCCUGGGAAGUACGGUCGCAAGAUUAAAACUCAAAGGAAUUGACGGGGGCCCGCACAAGCAGCGGAGCAUGUGGUUUAAUUCGAAGCAACGCGAAGAACCUUACCUAGACUUGACAUCUCCUGAAUAGUGUAGAGAUACAUGAAGCCCUUCGGGGCAGGAAGACAGGUGGUGCAGUGGUUGUCGUCAGCUCGUGUCGUGAGAUGGUUAGGGUUAACGUCCCGACAACGAGCGACUAACCCUUAUUACUAGUUGCUACUAUUAAGUUGAGCACUCUAGUGAGACUCGGACCC